UAGCUAGCGGCGGACGGGUGAGUAACACGUAGGUAACCUGCCUUUAAGACUGGGAUAACUAUCGGAAACGAUAGCUAAGACCGGAUAACUGGUUUUCUCGCAUGAGAGAAUCAUAAAACACGGAGCAAUCUGUGGCUUAAAGAUGGGCCUGCGGCGCAUUAGCUAGUUGGUGAGGUAACGGCUCACCAAGGCGACGAUGCGUAGCCGACCUGAGAGGGUGAACGGCCACACUGGGACUGAGACACGGCCCAGACUCCUACGGGAGGCAGCAGUAGGGAAUCUUCCGCAAUGGACGCAAGUCUGACGGAGCAACGCCGCGUGAGUGAUGAAGGUUUUCGGAUCGUAAAGCUCUGUUGCCCUAGACGAACAGCAUGAGGAGUAACUGCCUUGUGUGUGACGGUAUAGGAGAAGAAAGCCCCGGCUAACUACGUGCCAGCAGCCGCGGUAAUACGUAGGGGGCAAGCGUUGUCCGGAAUUAUUGGGCGUAAAGCGCGCGCAGGCGGUCAUUUAAGUCUGGUGUUUAAUCCUGGGGCUCAACCCCAGUUCGCAUCGGAAACUGGAUGACUUGAGUGUAAGAGAGGAAAGUGGAAUUCCACGUGUAGCGGUGAAAUGCGUAGAGAUGUGGAGGAACACCAGUGGCGAAGGCGACUUUCUGGCUUAUAACUGACGCUGAGGCGCGAAGCGUGGGGAGCAAACAGGAUAAAUACCCUGGUAGUCACGCCGUAACGAUGCAUACUAGGUGUCGGGGAU
RNAcentral lists this ribosomal RNA (750 nucleotides) under Paenibacillus sp. 104NP11. RNAcentral describes it as "bacterial SSU rRNA". It matches the Rfam family "Bacterial small subunit ribosomal RNA", at positions 89 to 830 of the family's 1533-position model. The record is from RNAcentral. Lineage: Bacteria; Bacillati; Bacillota; Bacilli; Caryophanales; Paenibacillaceae.